UACGUAGGGGGCGAGCGUUGUCCGGAAUCAUUGGGCGUAAAGCGCGUGUAGGCGGCCCGUUAAGUCCGCUGUGAAAGUCCAGGGCUCAACCCUGGGAUGCCGGUGGAUACUGUCGGGCUCGAGUCCGGAAGAGGCGAGUGGAAUUCCUGGUGUAGCGGUGAAAUGCGCAGAUAUCAGGAGGAACACCAAUGGCGAAGGCAGCUCGCUGGGACGUAACUGACGCUGAGACGCGAAAGCGUGGGGAGCAAACAGG
RNAcentral lists this ribosomal RNA (253 nucleotides) under uncultured bacterium. RNAcentral describes it as "partial 16S ribosomal RNA". It matches the Rfam family "Bacterial small subunit ribosomal RNA", at positions 524 to 776 of the family's 1533-position model. The record is from RNAcentral.